This 124-nucleotide unclassified non-coding RNA is filed under the name fungal sp. Its description in RNAcentral is "partial internal transcribed spacer region". The record is from RNAcentral. Lineage: Eukaryota; Fungi.
AAGUCGUAACAAGGUUUCCGUAGGUGAACCUGCGGAAGGAAAGGAAGGAAAGUGUUAAAACCACUUAUAAAAAUAUAGAGAGAAUAAAAAAUUUACCUCGAGUGGUGGAUCACUCGGCUCGUGG